GCAGUCGUGGCGAAAUUGGUAGACGCACUAGAUUUAGGUUCUAGCGGGUAUUCCCAUGAGAGUUCGAGUCUCUCCGACUGCA
Molecule: transfer RNA, 82 nt
Filed under: Phaeocystis rex
Lineage: Eukaryota; Haptophyta; Phaeocystales; Phaeocystaceae
Description: tRNA-Leu
Rfam family: tRNA
About the family: Transfer RNA (tRNA) molecules are approximately 80 nucleotides in length. Their secondary structure includes four short double-helical elements and three loops (D, anti-codon, and T loops).
Source: RNAcentral